RNAcentral lists this ribosomal RNA (601 nucleotides) under Alloalcanivorax dieselolei. RNAcentral describes it as "bacterial SSU rRNA". It matches the Rfam family "Bacterial small subunit ribosomal RNA", at positions 77 to 672 of the family's 1533-position model. Lineage: Bacteria; Pseudomonadati; Pseudomonadota; Gammaproteobacteria; Oceanospirillales; Alcanivoracaceae. The record is from RNAcentral.
AGCUCGCUCCCAGGCGUCGAGCGGCGGACGGGUGAGUAACACGUGGGAAUCUGCCCAUUAGUGGGGGAUAACUCGGGGAAACUCGAGCUAAUACCGCAUAAUCCCUACGGGGGAAAGCAGGGGAUCUUCGGACCUUGCGCUGAUGGAUGAGCCCGCGUCGGAUUAGCUUGUUGGUGGGGUAAUGGCCCACCAAGGCGACGAUCCGUAACUGGUCUGAGAGGAUGGCCAGUCACACCGGGACUGAGACACGGCCCGGACUCCUACGGGAGGCAGCAGUGGGGAAUCUUGGACAAUGGGCGCAAGCCUGAUCCAGCCAUGCCGCGUGUGUGAAGAAGGCCUUCGGGUUGUAAAGCACUUUCAGUAGGGAGGAAGGCUUUGGGCUAAUACCCUGGAGUACUUGACGUUACCUACAGAAGAAGCACCGGCUAAUUUCGUGCCAGCAGCCGCGGUAAUACGAAAGGUGCGAGCGUUAAUCGGAAUUACUGGGCGUAAAGCGCGCGUAGGCGGUGUGUUAAGUCGGAUGUGAAAGCCCAGGGCUCAACCUUGGAAUUGCAUCCGAUACUGGCACGCUAGAGUGCAGUAGAGGGAGGUGGAAUUUCCG